AGCGGCGGCGCAGGCGCGGAGAGGCGCACAGCGCAGGCGCUGGCGCGGAGAGGCGCAGGCCCAGGUCCACUCCCCAGCUGUGAAAGGAGGAGCUCUACGGUGACUUUGAAGACUUGGAAACAGGGGACAUGCACAAGGGAAAAUCGGGCCCCGACACUCAGAAUGAAGAUAUAGAGAAACAAGGAAGAAAUUGACCCCGACGAAGAAGAAAGUGCCAAGAAAAAGCAUUUGGAUAAGAAGAGAAAAUUGAAGGAGAUGUUUGAUGCGGAAUAUGAUGAAGGAGAAAGCACAUAUUUUGAUGAUCUUAAAGGAGAAAUGCAGAAAGAAGCACAGCUGAAUCACGUAGAAUUUGAAGAUCAAGAUGAUGAAGCCAGAGUUCAGUAUGAUGGUUUUCGACCUGGGAUGUACGUCCGCGUUGAGAUUGAAAAUGUUCCCUGUGAAUUUGUGCAGAACUUUGACCCCCAUUACCCCAUUAUCCUGGGUGGCUUGGGCAACAGCGAGGGAAAUGUUGGACACGUGCAGGUGGGUCCCUUUGCUGCAUAUUUGGUGCCUGAGGCUCUGUGGAUUUCCCCUCCAUCAGUCAUCUUACCCUCUCAUCCCCCUCAGAUGCGUCUGAAGAAACAUCGCUGGUAUAAGAAAAUCCUCAAGUCCCAAGAUCCAAUCAUAUUUUCUGUAGGGUGGAGGAGGUUUCAGACCAUCCUGCUCUAUUAUAUUGAAGACCACAAUGGAAGACAAAGGCUUCUAAAGUAUACCCCACAGCACAUGCAUUGUGGAGCAGCCUUUUGGGGUAAAAUAUGAUUACAAUAACUUGCCUAUUGCCGAGAUUAAACUUUACAGGCUGCGUUAUUUUAGCUUUGUGCUUUUCCUUUCAUAAAAUUCCACUCCUAAGAUGUUUCUGUUUUCUGGGAGCGGGGAGGUGGUUUGGAGUAUAUAUGUAAAUCUAUAUCCAAAUCUAAAUGUCCGUAUCCAGUAUGUUAAACUAGAAUCUAAAAUUUCUGGUUUGCUAUAUUUCUUUUUUUCCUUUUCCUUUAAGACCCUAUCACUCCACAGGGAACUGGUUUCUUGGCAAUACAGUCUGUCAGUGGCAUAAUGGUAACUAUCUUGGACAAUUUCUUUUACAGAUUGGUUUGAGAAAUAUAUCCUGAAUGUGGGUUAUUAUGUACAUGAGACUUUAAGUUGAAAAUUACUCAUUUUUAUUAUUAUAAAGUAAAUUUCCCUUUGCUUUUAAUCUUUGUACAUCCUUUUCAGUAGGGUGUGGGAUUAGAGGAGGGGAGGUGGAAGAAUUAUAAUGGUACAUUUCCUAUUUUUGUGCAUCUUUUGCAUUUAUUUAUCUAAGCAAGUAUUUAAGCAGUGCUCACCGUGUGCUAAGCACUAUAUGAGGUUAUGAGGAGCCAUCAGAGACCACCCAGACACAAGACUCCCUGCAGCUGUGCUGGGGUAGCAGUCUGUUCACUCCAUUUUCAUUUGACCAGUCAGGCAGGGCAGGGUUUACUGGUCCCAUUUAACAGAGAAGAAAGCAGAAUAAUGAGCAGAUGGAAUCUUCCCUGGAGGUCCAAAUUUUAAUUUUCUAAACAUUGCAACUGUAUUUUUCUUUUCCAUUUCGUUCCAAAUAAAUCAUUAUAGUAAAAUUACAUUCCUCUGAAAUCACUCUCAGGAAAGUACUCAAGUAGCCUUUUUUUUUCUUUUUUCUUUUUCUUUUCUUUUUUUUUUUUUUUUUUUUUUUGAGACAGAGUCGCACUCCGUCAUCCAGGCUGGAGUGCAGUGGCACGAUCUUGGCUCGCUGCAACCUCUGCCUCCUGGGUUUAAGUGGUUCUCCUGCCUCGGCCUCCCGAGUAGCUGGGAUUACAGGUGUGCACCAUCAUGCCGAGCUAAUUUUUGUAUUUUUAGUAGAGAUGGAAUUUUGCCAUGUUGGCCAGACUGGUUUCAAACUUCUGACCUCAGGUGAUCCACCUGCCUUGGCCUCCCAAAGUGCUGGGAUUACAGGUAUGAGCCACUGUGCCUGGCCUCAAGUCACCCUUGUUAGUUUGGCUUACCAACUUUAAAGUUUUGGAUUGCUUUUGUCAAACCACUGGGUUGCAAGUUCAGAUGGUCUCUCUUGUUUUUCUUAGCUAAUUGUAAGUAAAGUUCACUUUGGUAAUUUAUUGUGUUACAUAGAAUUGAAGUUUUUCUCUUGCUAAUAUUAUUCCUAUUUUCAAAUUUUGGGGCUCCUGUUAGCCUGAUUUUCGGAUAGCUGCCACAGGAGUUGUCCUUGAUCUGGAUAAAUCCAUAAAAAUUGUGAAGAAAUUAAAGCUAACUGGUUUUCCAUA
Molecule: long non-coding RNA, 2306 nt
Organism: Homo sapiens (human)
Lineage: Eukaryota; Metazoa; Chordata; Mammalia; Primates; Hominidae
Source: Ensembl